Long non-coding RNA from Haliotis rubra (blacklip abalone), 98 nucleotides. RefSeq lists it as uncharacterized. The transcript is spliced from 3 exons. The record is from RefSeq and is a predicted model, not a curated record. Lineage: Eukaryota; Metazoa; Mollusca; Gastropoda; Lepetellida; Haliotidae.
UUGUCAACGAUUGACAACAGUAUCGUUAUCGCAGUUUCGAUGUGGCUACUAGGAUUUAAUGUAUUUUAAAGGAAUAUGUCAUGUUACUGAGAGCCAAU